This 376-nucleotide ribosomal RNA is filed under the name uncultured bacterium. Its description in RNAcentral is "bacterial SSU rRNA". It matches the Rfam family "Bacterial small subunit ribosomal RNA", at positions 29 to 406 of the family's 1533-position model. The record is from RNAcentral.
AUUGAACGCUGGCGGCGUGCCUAACACAUGCAAGUCGAGCGGUAACGGGUGUAGCAAUACAUGCUGACGAGCGGCGAACGGGUGAGUAAUGCUUCGGAAUCUACCCAAUGGUGGGGAAUAACCAGCCGAAAGGUUGGCUAAUACCGCAUACGUCCCACGGGAGAAAGCAGGGGAUCGCAAGACCUUGCGCCAAUGGAUGAGCCGAAGUCGGAUUAGCUAGUUGGAGGGUAACGGCCUACCAAGGCGACGAUCCGUAGCUGGUCUGAGAGGACGACCAGCCACACUGGGACUGAGACACGGCCCAGACUCCUACGGGAGCAGCAGUGGGGAAUAUUGGACAAUGGGGGAAACCCUGAUCCAGCGACGCCGCGUGUGU